CUGGAUCCAUAAGGUGUAUCAUACAUAUAUGCUCUUUUGAACCGAGUUAAAACUUUGACCUGAAAUUGUGAAUGUUUAAAGAGAACUGUUGUUCUGUUCAAUAUCUUGAGAACUCUGUACUUAACAGGCACCACGCUUGGUACACUGGAACAUCCUAAGAAGUAGAUGCCUCCCAAUGGUUUUCAAGUCACAAGCGAAGUUCAAAGGCCAUAACUCAAAUGACUGAUUAUUUGAGAAUGACUGUUCAGUGUCUUGAGCGAAUUCAAACUUAGAAUUGUGGUCGCCUCUGAUUAUUAGAUAAUCUAUAUUUUCACUAUCACUAUAGGUAUUUUAGAUAUAAAAUUGAUCCUUUUGAAUAUUGCCACAUGGGGAGUAUACAUGUUUCUAAAGCAUUUCUUGUUUAUAUUCAGAAACAUAUUGUCACUUUUAGGCAACAUUACUUUGUGCAGGUAGCAAAUGUUCCCCAAAACGAGAAUUUUUUUUACAUUUUUAUUUUUUCUAAGACAAUAGCUUGUUAAUGAAAGGUGAAGAUAAUGAACAGUGAUCAAUCUCAUAAAAUUUUCUGCAUAUAAUUCCAAUACGGUUGAUCAAACCUGAAUAAAAAAGGACUUGUUGAGUACAUGUGUACCAUUAAAGGUGCAAGACCCUGUCUACAUACAUACUCUGCAGCAGUGCAACUUUAGUACAAGUGACAUUUUUGAAGUGUGUAUUAUACAUGUAUAUGGAUGAUCUUGUGCAUGUUCAACGGCGCAAGGUCAAUCUUCUGAAAUACUAGUAGCUACAGCUUGAGUAUACCUUCACUGUUAAAUUUCAAAGAAAUAAGCAUGGCAUGUACAGUAUUAGGAAAUUAGAGAUUCAUCAUCUUAUUGUCAAUAUGAUCUUGUUCUCUAUCUGUCGACAUGAUGCAGACCAAUAAACAAAUAUGCCUUCGAUGUCAUGGACAGAAAAUAGUAUUAUAGUCUUGGAGUUUUUAAUCUCCAUCUUUUUAAAUCACAAAACUUGAUUACGUUUUCAUUUUCUGCGAACUGAUAUAGCCUUUUUUGCGAUUGUUGUAUGAUAAAACCUGCCCAGUUGCUUUAUAUGUUUAUCAUCAGCACGAUAAAACUGCGGGAUGUUGUAGAAUUACUCAACGGAGGCUAAUGUUCCAACACUAUAAAACAUGUUUCUCCAUUUAAGGAAGCUGUCAAAGAAACAUCCCUUUUCCAACUAAUAUGUCCUUAAAAACCUAAAACGACAGUAAAGGAAAAUCAUCGGGAAAUUACUGGGCUUCUUGUUGUAGAUUAAAGGAAGAAAAUGGACGCCAAAUGCAAUCAAUACCACGAGAAGGUCCCGUCACAAGAAAACUUACGACUACAUUAUAAAGAUUGGGUUGGAGCUCUUUUAGCAAGGUUUCCUUAGAUACAAUUAAUAACUAUAUUUAGUACAUCUCGAGGCUAUAUCACGUGUCAGUACAUUUGUUACUGUUGCUCCGGGUAAGUGUAGAAUUUUGGAGAUAUAAUAGAGAGCAUUCACUGUCGUGGGAUUCAAUUUAGAGACAAACAAGUAUGUUUAUGGGGAAUUAAUUCCGUAGUUGAAAAGUAACUAUUCUUUAUUGUAGUUCAGCUUUUCGCUUUCGUGGAGGAUGUCCUUAACACGAUUGAUUGUUUUUCGUCCCGUCGAAAAUUUUUCUCUCAUAUUGAGACGUCACCAGCUGUAGGUGAAGGACCUUGCUUUGCGCUCAGGGCCAUAGCAAUGAGGGUUCUUUAUCGUGCCAACGCCUGUCGCGACACAGGGCCUUAGUUUUUAAGGUCAUAUCCGAAAUAUCUGUGAAUCUCACUUCUAAAUGCCGAGUGUUUGACGAAGGAGCAAUCAUUACCUAAAACGUCUUAAUGCGGUCUUGGAACUCGAACUCACGACCUCCCGAUUAUGAAACGAACGUUCUACCACUGAGUUAUCGCAACCGUUCCUAUAUCACGGAAAUAUCAAAAUAAAUUAACGAUAUUACAGCAUUCAGAUUUCUUUUAGAAAAGAAACAGAGUUGAACUGAAGUCGCAAUAGACAAAAGUUACAGGACAUCGUAUCUUUUUGAUAUUUUGAACUUGUAUCCCUCUGGGGGCUAUUGCAAAUAACCUCCCAGCAGGCAUGCAACGUUGUUUCAACGUUGUUUCAACGUUGAUAUUUGGAUGUGACGUCGAACAACCAUUUUUCAACGUUGGUUCAACGUUACUAUUUCGACGUCGAAAUUUCAACGUUGUACUGACGUUGAAUCAACGUUUAGAAUCAAGUUUUGGAAGGGUUCCAAAUAAUUAUGUUUUUCUUAAUUCGUGUUAAUUAAUCUGUGUAUACUCAAUAAAGUAUAAAUUUAUCAUUUUGAAAGAGGAUUUAAAAUUAGUCGACAAUUCGACGUCUAUAUGACGUCUAAGUGACGUUGAAAAUAAAUGAUUUUACAAACACGUACAUAUUUUUAUAAAAAUUAUUUUUUUUUUAAAAAUCAGUAUAAGAUGUAAAAAAAAAAAAAAAAAAAAGAAAGAAAAAGAAAAAAGGGUCUAAUAUGUUUUUAAAAUAAAAAUGAAUGCAUGUUUGGCUACUAUUAAAGGGCGGGUAACUCUAAUUCCGGUUUAUGACAGGAAGUGUACGAUUAAAAGCGCGGGCUUUCAGCGAGGUAAACAAAGGAAGACAAAGUAGGAAAAGAAAGGGAAUAUAUGAUCUACACGAACUGAGCGGUGCUAGAGAUGUUUGGCUAAUGACAUGAUGGCAAGAAUGAAUUUGCGAGCAAACAAGGGAAAGGCAGCCUUCAGCAGAACAAUUCUGUAUUCCGUUAUAAAAGAAUCUGUACUUGCCAGCAAUCCAAGGGCAACUGAAAGCAACAUAGACUAGAUCAAGGGGGAAAUAUCUGAAGUAUACCCCGGAAAGAGCUGGAGGAGGUGGCCGAAAAGAGAACAAUGGACUAAUAGGCUUUAAUUAAAAAUAUAGUUUUUUGUGGGUCACUCACACUCUUGGAAAAAAACCACUCUAGUUAAAUAUCUUAACUAUUGCUUCUGCAAUAGAAAGUAAUUAUCAAAGUUAAUAAAUUUUAUACUAUCAUUCUAUUAAUAUUUGUUUUUGAAUGGAAAUUCAAUUUUUGAAACCAUGUGAAAAAUCUGACAAAUUUAUUUUGCCUUUCAUUUGCGUGUAUAAAUGAAUUUAACCUUGUAUCAUUGUUGUAAUUUUUUACAGUGGAAGUUAUAGAGUUUCACUUGUAUUAUUCAUGUUGUUGUCAUUAUUCUUUUUGUAAGAAUUAAAUUAGGGAAGUAAGGAUUAGUAAUUGUAUUUAGAAUUGUGGAUUACAGCCUGAUGUUUACCAUUUUUCAGCAGCAUGUACACUCAACUUUGCAAUAAAGAUCAAUAAUAUUUUCAAAA
Ostrea edulis (European flat oyster) is the source of this 3378-nucleotide long non-coding RNA. RefSeq lists it as uncharacterized. The record is from RefSeq and is a predicted model, not a curated record. NCBI's taxonomy places the organism in Eukaryota, Metazoa, Mollusca, Bivalvia, Ostreida, Ostreidae. The transcript is spliced from 3 exons.